RNAcentral lists this long non-coding RNA (255 nucleotides) under Prunus persica (peach). RNAcentral's name for it is "long non-coding RNA (PPER_LNC007931)". The record is from RNAcentral. Lineage: Eukaryota; Viridiplantae; Streptophyta; Magnoliopsida; Rosales; Rosaceae.
GGCCACAUCCUUGCCUUUUACCCUAAAUUAUUAUUUUAUUAUUUUUUCUUAGAAAAUUCAUAACUAAAUACACAAAAAUCACAAUAAUGUUCCGAAAAUUGCUACGAACUCAUUGAGACUUCAUCUUCCUACUAAACUCCCUGUUUCAUUGUUACGCUACAUUAGUAUUUUAUUAUUAUUUAUCCUAAAUUAUUAAUAUUAUUAUUAUAUUACUUUUUAGCCCAUACAUUUGUUAAUUAUAUUUAAGGACCCGCC